UUAAAAAUAAGCUAAGCAAGCUUUUGGGUUCAUACCUCAAAUAUAAAGGAAAUUCCUUUUUUUUAAA
This 67-nucleotide transfer RNA is filed under the name Pida apicalis. Its description in RNAcentral is "tRNA-Met". The record is from RNAcentral. Lineage: Eukaryota; Metazoa; Arthropoda; Insecta; Lepidoptera; Erebidae.